Molecule: long non-coding RNA, 112 nt
Organism: Melanotaenia boesemani (Boeseman's rainbowfish)
Lineage: Eukaryota; Metazoa; Chordata; Actinopteri; Atheriniformes; Melanotaeniidae
Exons: 3
Source: RefSeq, a predicted model, not a curated record
CUAAAUAAAAAUAAAAUAACAUGUAAAAAAAAACUACCACAGUAUCUGGUUUUCUAUGUACAAGUAAUGUGAGUGUGUAUGUCAGGUGGAUCACACUCCUCAGCCUCCCUGG